Molecule: small RNA, 517 nt
Filed under: Pan troglodytes (chimpanzee)
Lineage: Eukaryota; Metazoa; Chordata; Mammalia; Primates; Hominidae
Description: retained intron
Source: RNAcentral
GCAGGUGACAUGGGCUGGUGAUGAAAUGUGUAGAAUUCUUUCCACAACCGCCUGAAGGCAGGGCCCACGGCCUCCUCCUUACCGAAGCAAGCCUCUGGGUUCAGCUUCAUGGCGGCUGAAGAGAUGCAUUGGCCUGUCCCUAUGAAGGCCAUUGGUGCCCAGAACCUGCUAACCAUGCCUGGGGGCGUGGCCAAGGCUGGCUACCUGCACAAGAAGGGCGGUACCCAGCUGCAGCUGCUGAAAUGGCCCCUGCGCUUUGUCAUCAUCCACAAACGCUGCGUCUACUACUUCAAGAGCAGCACCUCCGCCUCCCCGCAGGGCGCCUUCUCCCUGAGUGGUUAUAACCGGGUGAUGCGGGCGGCUGAGGAGACCACGUCCAACAACGUUUUCCCCUUCAAGAUCAUCCACAUCAGCAAGAAGCACCGCACGUGGUUCUUCUCGGCCUCCUCCGAGGAGGAGCGCAAGGUGACUGGGGGUCCAAGGACGAGUGCAAGGUGACUGGGGGUGUGGGCCUGCA